GCCUGGGUGGCUCAGUCGGUUGAGUAUCCCACUUUGGCUCAGGUCAUGAUCUCAUCGUUUGUGGGUUCAAGCCCCGCCUCGGGCU
This 85-nucleotide transfer RNA is filed under the name Felis catus (domestic cat). It matches the Rfam family "tRNA". Rfam says of the family: Transfer RNA (tRNA) molecules are approximately 80 nucleotides in length. Their secondary structure includes four short double-helical elements and three loops (D, anti-codon, and T loops). Further hydrogen bonds mediate the characteristic L-shaped molecular structure. tRNAs have two regions of fundamental functional importance: the anti-codon, which is responsible for specific mRNA codon recognition, and the 3' end, to which the tRNAs corresponding amino acid is attached (by aminoacyl-tRNA synthetases). tRNAs cope with the degeneracy of the genetic code in two manners: having more than one tRNA (with a specific anti-codon) for a particular amino acid; and 'wobble' base-pairing, i.e. permitting non-standard base-pairing at the 3rd anti-codon position. Lineage: Eukaryota; Metazoa; Chordata; Mammalia; Carnivora; Felidae. RNAcentral also lists the same sequence under 2 other names. The record is from Rfam by way of RNAcentral.